This 238-nucleotide long non-coding RNA is filed under the name Elaeis guineensis (African oil palm). RNAcentral's name for it is "long non-coding RNA (EGUI_LNC080154)". The record is from RNAcentral. Lineage: Eukaryota; Viridiplantae; Streptophyta; Magnoliopsida; Arecales; Arecaceae.
AUUUAAUAUAAAGAUGUAUUUUGACACAUUCUUGCUAUUAUUAUAUCCAACUAAAAACUAAAAUCAAAUUCUAUCUCACAUUCUUACUAUUAUUAUAUCUCACAUCCAUUAUUUCACACCAAAGAGUCCUUUUCCUUCUCUAUCUCUCGUCCAAAUUUGAUUUGGAUUUUAGAACCUUCUUUUUAUCAAAACUAAAAGAUCAAAAAUCUAAAAUUCAAAUUUUUAUGUACACCCCAAG